AUAUCAGGGUCAAAAGCCGCAGGGCGUUCCUGUUUGCAGGAUAAGAUUUGCGGCUUAAUGACCCGCCAAAACAUGAGGAAGUAGCCCGAUUAGGGCGGAUUUCGAAUGUUUUAGAAUUGAGGGAGUUGCAGAGCAACGGAGCAAUUCGUGAU
This 152-nucleotide small RNA is filed under the name bovine gut metagenome. Its description in RNAcentral is "Clostridiales-1 RNA". It matches the Rfam family "Clostridiales-1 RNA". The record is from RNAcentral.